Molecule: long non-coding RNA, 744 nt
Organism: Antechinus flavipes (yellow-footed antechinus)
Lineage: Eukaryota; Metazoa; Chordata; Mammalia; Dasyuromorphia; Dasyuridae
Exons: 4
Source: RefSeq, a predicted model, not a curated record
CUCUCAGUCAGAGAGGAUGUCCAUUCUGCAGCUCUGGGUUGGAUCUCCAGCAGCCACUGUCAGAGUUCCUCUCUCCCAUCCUUCUCCCACUCACUGAGAAGCUCUAUCCAGUGGUUUCCCCAUUCAACCCCUGUUAAGGGACAGGUCAAUUCUCCGAGAGCCUCCACAGUUGUGAAUCUUAACAUCUGAAGGAGUUUCAGGGCAGCCUUUGCUGACACGGGUGUUGCGGACUGGGAACAAGAUAAACUGGAGACAGAGGGAAGAGGAGAGAGGUAAUGGUCUCGGGCUUGACAAGGAAGGAAACAGAUCUACUCACCAUUCGCUUAGAAACCCACCUCUGGACUGUGGGAACAGAGUGCGGAUCAAAACAUUCUCACUCUUUUUGCUGUUGUUCAUUUUGUAUUUUGUUUUCUUAAUUAGUUUUCUUUUUUUUUUUUUGAUCUGAUCUUAUGCAGCAAGAUAAUUGUACAAAUAUGUUUAAAUAUAUUGGAUUUAACAUAUAUUUUAACAUGUUUAACAUAUAUUGGAUUGAUCGUCACCUGGGGAAGGAGGGAAAAAUUUGGAAGACAAGGUUUUGUAGGGGUCAAUGUUGAAAAAUUAUCUAUGCAUAUGUGUUGAAAAUAAAGAUAUUUAAUAAAAAAGAGAGAGAGAGAAAUCCACCUCUGUACUCAUCAGCAGGAAGUUACCAACCACUGUGACUGAUCUCUUCUUCCUUUGAGUCCUUGGUACUAGUGGUGCCUCUAG